UGCUUGACUCAAAGAUUAAGCCAUGCAUGUCUAAGUAUAAGCACUUAUACUGCGAAACUGCGGAUGGCUCAUUAUAUCAGUACCAAUCUAUUUGACGAGAAUUUCUACUUGGAUAACUGUAGGAAUCCUAGAGCUAAUACAUGCAAAGAGUGUGGACCGGUCUUUGGACUGGGAAGCACGUGUUUACUAGAUUCAGAACCAAUGUAGGGCAAUUCAAACUCUGUUCUCUGCCCCUUUUGGGGGGUGGUGGGCGGGGGCUCUACCCUCACGGUGAUUCAUAGUAACUCCGCACGAAUCGGGGACUCUGUUCUCGAUGGUGCAAACGAAGUUCUGCCCUAUCAACUUUCGAAGGUAGUGUAGGGGACUACCUUGGUUGUAACGGGUAACGGGGAAUUAGGGUUCGAUUCCGGAGAGGGAGCCUGAGAAACGGCUACCACUUCCAAGGAAGGCAGCAGGCGCGCAAAUUACCCAAUCCCGACAUGGGGAGGUAGUGACAAGAAAUAUUGAUAUAGGGCCCCAUACGGGUACUAUGUUCGAAAUGAGAACAAUUUAAAAUCCUUAUCGAGGAACAAUUGGAGGGCAAGUCUGGUGCCAGCAGCCGCGGUAAUUCCAGCUCCAAUAGUGUAUAUUAAAGUUGUUGCGGUUAAAAAGCUCGUAGUUGGACCUUGGGCUGGGAGGGUGCUCCUCCGGUCCAGAAGCCCGUGCGGCCGGCAGUUGGGUCAAACCCGCUGCAUGCGGCGGGUGGAGGACCGGGCGGGGGCGCCCUCUCUAACCGUUCACAAGCGUUCGUCACAUCAAGGUCUCUCGGGUGGCCGCGGGCCUGCCCGGUUGGUGCCCGGGGGAUCGUGUCGUUCACUUUACCUUGAAGAAAUUUGAGUGUUUAAAGCAGGCAAUAUUUGCAUCCGAAAACAUUAGCAUGGGAUAAUGAAAUAGGACUCAUCCUUACCUUCGUUGGUUCUUAAGGAGUGGGUAAUGAUUAAUAGGGACAGUCGGGGUCGGUGGUACUGAGUGGCUAGAGGUGAAAUUCUAUGACCCACUCAAGACCGACAACAGCGAAAGCAUUCGACAAGGAUGUUUUCAUUGAUCAAGAACGAAAGUUGAGGGAUCGAAGAUGAUNAGAUACCGUCGUAGUCUCAACCGUAAACGAUGUCGACUCGGGAUCGGAGGGCGUUACAUGGAUGACCCCUCCGGCACCGUGUGAGAAAUCAUAAGUAACCAGACUCCGGGGGGAGUAUGGUCGCAAGGCUGAAACUUAAAGGAAUUGACGGAAGGGCACCACCAGGAGUGGAGUCUGUGGCUUAAUUUGACUCAACACGGGGAAACUUACCAAGUCCGAACACGACGAGGAUUGACAGAUUAAUAGCUCUUUCUUGAUUUUGUGGAGAGUGGUGCAUGGCCGUUUUUAGUUGGUGGAGUGAUCUGUCUGGUUAAUUCCGUUAACGAACGAGACCUUAACCUGCUAAAUAGGGGUUCAAACGUAGGGGUCUCGGGGAGGGUUUCCGCAAGGGUUCCCGACCCGGCCCCAACAAAUGGUUUUGAUUCCCCUUCUUAGAGGGACCAUUCAAUCGAAUGAACGGAAGUUUAAGGCAAAAACAGGUCUGUGAUGCCCUCAGAUGUUUUGGGCUGCACACGCAUUACACUGUUAUGUGCAACGAGUCGCAAAAGACCCGAACCCUGACGGGUGGGGUAAGCUUUGAAUGCAUAACGUGAUGGGGAUUGUGUUUUGCAAUUAUCACACAUGAACGAGGAAUUCCUAGUAAGCGUAAGUCAUCAACUUACGUUGAUUACGUCCCUGCCCUUUGUACACACCGCCCGUCGCUCCUACCGAUUGAACGGCCCGAUGAGAACUCGGGAUGGAGGAGUGUGGAUGGCAGCCCACAAGGCUGUCGUCCACCUCAGCCAGAACCCGUUCAAAUCUUGUCGUUUAGAGGAAGGAGAAGUCGUAACAAGGCUUCCGUAGGUGAACCUGCAGAAGGAUCA
Molecule: ribosomal RNA, 1980 nt
Filed under: Chaos carolinense
Lineage: Eukaryota; Tubulinea; Elardia; Euamoebida; Amoebidae
Description: SSU rRNA
Rfam family: Eukaryotic small subunit ribosomal RNA
Source: RNAcentral